UACGGAGGAUGCGAGCGUUAUCCGGAUUUAUUGGGUUUAAAGGGUGCGUAGGCAGGAUGCCAAGUCAGCGGUAAAAAUGCGGUGCUCAACGCCGUCGAGCCGUUGAAACUGGCGUUCUUGAGUGGGCGAGAAGUAUGCGGAAUGCGUGGUGUAGCGGUGAAAUGCAUAGAUAUCACGCAGAACUCCGAUUGCGAAGGCAACAUACCGGCGCCCUACUGACGCUGAGGCACGAAAGCGUGGGUAUCGAACAGG
Molecule: ribosomal RNA, 252 nt
Filed under: uncultured bacterium
Lineage: Bacteria
Description: partial 16S ribosomal RNA
Rfam family: Bacterial small subunit ribosomal RNA
Source: RNAcentral